RNAcentral lists this RNase P RNA (380 nucleotides) under Syntrophomonadaceae bacterium. Its description in RNAcentral is "RNase P RNA component class A". It matches the Rfam family "Bacterial RNase P class A". Rfam says of the family: Ribonuclease P (RNase P) is a ubiquitous endoribonuclease, found in archaea, bacteria and eukarya as well as chloroplasts and mitochondria. Lineage: Bacteria; Bacillati; Bacillota; Clostridia; Eubacteriales; Syntrophomonadaceae. The record is from RNAcentral.
CGAGCAAAUCGGGUAGCCGCGAGGCCUCGGCCUCGAGGAAAGUCGGAGCUCCGCAGGGCAGGGUGCUGGGUAACGCCCAGUGGGGGUGACCCCAAGGCCAGUGCCACAGAAACAGACCGCCGGGCGCUCAGCGGGGAGCGCCGCCGCACCGGCAGCGCCUCCCGGCGAGCGCCAGGCAAGGGUGGAAAGGUGAGGUAAGAGCUCACCAGCGGUCAGGCGACUGAUCGGCUCGGUAAACCCCACCCGGAGCAAGACCGAAUAGAGGAGCAAUGGAGUGGCCCGCUCCGCUCCCGGGUCAGGUCGCUGGAGGCGCCAGGCGACUGGCGUCCUAGACAGAUGGCUACCGAACACAGAACUCCGCUUACAGAUUCGCUCGCCAG